RNAcentral lists this ribosomal RNA (414 nucleotides) under uncultured archaeon. Its description in RNAcentral is "bacterial SSU rRNA". It matches the Rfam family "Archaeal small subunit ribosomal RNA", at positions 591 to 997 of the family's 1478-position model. The record is from RNAcentral.
ACUUGGAACCGGGAGAGGUAAGAGGUACUACAGGGGUAGGAGUGAAAUCUUGUAAUCCCUGUGGGACCACCUGUGGCGAAGGCGUCUUACCAGAACGGGUUCGACGGUGAGGGACGAAAGCUGGGGGGCACGAACCGGAUUAGAUACCCGGGUAGUCCCAGCCGUAAACGAUGCUCGCUAGGUGUCAGGCAUGGCGCGACCGUGUCUGGUGCCGCAGGGAAGCCGUGAAGCGAGCCACCUGGGAAGUACGGCCGCAAGGCUGGAAACUUAAAGGAAUUGGCGGGGGAGGCACAACAACGGGUGGAGCCCCUGCGGUUUUAAUUGGACUCAACGCCGGACAACUCACCGGGGGCGACAGCUAAUAUGUAGGCCAAGCUGAAGACUUUGCCUGAAUCGCUGAGGAGAGGUGCAUGG